UGCCAGACUCCUACGGGAGGCAGCAGUGGGGAAUAUUGCACAAUGGGGGAAACCCUGAUGCAGCAACGCCGCGUGAGUGAAGAAGUAUUUCGGUAUGUAAAGCUCUAUCAGCAGGGAAGAAGAAAGACGGUACCUGACUAAGAAGCCCCGGCUAACUACGUGCCAGCAGCCGCGGUAAUACGUAGGGGGCAAGCGUUAUCCGGAUUUACUGGGUGUAAAGGGAGCGUAGACGGCGGCGCAAGUCCGGAGUGAAAGCCCGCGGCCCAACCGCGGGACUGCAUUGGGAACUGGCGCGCUGGAGUGCCGGAGGGGUAGGCGGAAUUCCUAGUGUAGCGGUGAAAUGCGUAGAUAUUAGGAGGAACACCAGUGGCGAAGGCGGCCUACUGGACGGUGACUGACGCUGAGGCUCGAAAGCGUGGGGAGCAAACAGGAUUAGAUACCCGAGUAGC
This 449-nucleotide ribosomal RNA is filed under the name uncultured bacterium. RNAcentral's name for it is "partial 16S ribosomal RNA". It matches the Rfam family "Bacterial small subunit ribosomal RNA", at positions 329 to 794 of the family's 1533-position model. The record is from RNAcentral.